UGCCAGCCGCCGCGGUAAUACGGAGGGAGCGAGCGUUAAUCGGAAUUACUGGGCAUAAAGCGCGCGUAGGCGGCUUUUUAAGUCAGAUGUGAAAUAUCUCGGCUCAACCGAGAAAACGCACUGGAAACUGUCAAGCUUGAGUAUCGGAGGGGAAGCUAGAAUUCCUGGUGUAGGGGUGAAAUCUGUAGAUAUCAGGAAGAAUACCGGUGGCGAAGGCGAGCUUCUGGCCAGAUACUGACGCUGAGAUGCGAAAGCGUGGGGAGCGAACAGGAUUAGAUA
This 279-nucleotide ribosomal RNA is filed under the name uncultured bacterium. RNAcentral describes it as "partial 16S ribosomal RNA". It matches the Rfam family "Bacterial small subunit ribosomal RNA", at positions 506 to 784 of the family's 1533-position model. The record is from RNAcentral.